AUUGAACGCUGGCGGCAGGCUUAACACAUGCAAGUCGAGCGGGGAAAGGUAGCUUGCUACCUGACCUAGCGGCGGACGGGUGAGUAAUGCUUAGGAAUCUGCCUAUUAGUGGGGGACAACAUCUCGAAAGGGAUGCUAAUACCGCAUACGUCCUACGGGAGAAAGCAGGGGACCUUCGGGCCUUGCGCUAAUAGAUGAGCCUAAGUCGGAUUAGCUAGUUGGUGGGGUAAAGGCCUACCAAGGCGACGAUCUGUAGCGGGUCUGAGAGGAUGAUCCGCCACACUGGGACUGAGACACGGCCCAGACUCCUACGGGAGGCAGCAGUGGGGAAUAUUGGACAAUGGGGGGAACCCUGAUCCAGCCAUGCCGCGUGUGUGAAGAAGGCCUUUUGGUUGUAAAGCACUUUAAGCGAGGAGGAGGCUACCGAGAUUAAUACUCUUGGAUAGCGGACGUUACUCGCAGAAUAAGCACCGGCUAACUCUGUG
Molecule: ribosomal RNA, 485 nt
Filed under: uncultured bacterium
Lineage: Bacteria
Description: partial 16S ribosomal RNA
Rfam family: Bacterial small subunit ribosomal RNA
Source: RNAcentral